CGGGGUGCACCAGGCGCGAAAACUUUACAAUGCUGGAAACAGCGAUAAGGGGACCUCGAGUGCCAGGUUACAAAUCUGGCCGUCGUGAUGCCUAAAAAGCAUUGCAUAGCAAGGGCCGGGCAAGACCGGUGCCAGCCGCCGCGGUAACACUGGCGGCUCGAGUGGUAACCGUUAUUAUUGGGUUUAAAGGGUCAGUAGCCGGCCGGAUAAGUCUCUUGGGAAAUCCAGCAGCUCAACUGUUGGGCUUUCCGGAGAUACCGUCUGGCUAGAGGCCGGGAGAGGUGAGAGGUACUUCAGGGGUAGGGGUGAAAUCUUGUAAUCCUUGAAGGACCACACAGUGGCGAAGGCGUCUCACCAGAACGGACCUGACGGCAAGGGACGAAAGCUAGGGGCACGAACCGGAUUAGAUACCCGGGUAGUCCUAGCCGUAAACGAUACUCGCUAGGUGUCGGCCACGGUGCGACCGUUGUCGGUGCCGUAGGGAAGCCGUGAAGCGAGCCGCCUGGGAAGUACGGCCGCAAGGCUGAAACUUAAAGGAAUCGGCGGGCGAGCACAAGGGCGAUUCGCG
RNAcentral lists this ribosomal RNA (568 nucleotides) under uncultured archaeon. RNAcentral's name for it is "bacterial SSU rRNA". It matches the Rfam family "Archaeal small subunit ribosomal RNA", at positions 326 to 897 of the family's 1478-position model. The record is from RNAcentral.